GACGAACGCUGGCGGCGUGCCUAAUACAUGCAAGUAGAACGCACAGUUUAUACCGUAGCUUGCUACACCAUAGACUGUGAGUUGCGAACGGGUGAGUAACGCGUAGGUAACCUGCCUGGUAGCGGGGGAUAACUAUUGGAAACGAUAGCUAAUACCGCAUAAUAUUAAUUAUUGCAUGAUAAUUAAUUGAAAGGUGCAAUUGCACCACUACCAGAUGGACCUGCGUUGUAUUAGCUAGUAGGUGAGGUAACGGCUCACCUAGGCGACGAUACAUAGCCGACCUGAGAGGGUGAUCGGCCACACUGGAACUGAGACACGGCCCAGACUCCUACGGGAGGCAACAGUAGGGAAUCUUCGGCAAUGGACGAAAGUCUGACCGAGCAACGCCGCGUGAGUGAAGAAGGUUUUCGGAUCGUAAAGCUCUGUUGUAAGGGAAGAACGAGUGUGAGAGUGGAAAGGUCACACUGUGACGGUAUCUUACCAGAAAGGAACGGCUAACUACGU
RNAcentral lists this ribosomal RNA (504 nucleotides) under uncultured bacterium. RNAcentral describes it as "partial 16S ribosomal RNA". It matches the Rfam family "Bacterial small subunit ribosomal RNA", at positions 28 to 506 of the family's 1533-position model. The record is from RNAcentral.